UGCGAAUGGCAUCUUUUAUGGAUAAUCUCACAAGAAUUUUAUUUAUGGCCUGUUCAGGCAGAGAACUAAUCCUGUCUUUUUCUAUUUCCAACUGAAUAAUCUGCAACUUUUCUUCCAUUGCCAAAAGUCUGAAACUGAAAAUGAAAUGAAACAUAUAUAAAAGAUGGAUCUGUAAAUUAUUAUAAAGAAAAGGAAUCGAACAGUAGAAAAGGAAAUAAAUACUAAAUAAAAAAACUCUGGUUGAUCUGAUGAUCGACUAACCCAUGUAAUAUUAAAUAAAAAUUAGAAAUUCAGAGUGUUAAUUGCUGAUCAUUAAACACUAAACAAAAAUAGAAAUGCUAAAAAUUAUAAAAAUAAAAAAUAACCAGCAAAAACAUAAUUCAAGAGGAGGAUAAAAAAAAAAUCAAUUCAGCAAAAAAAAUGCAAAAAUCAGAAAUUCAAAGUGUUAAUUGCUGAUCAUUAAACACUAAACAAAAAUAAGAAUCCUAAAAAUAUGAUGCUUUCUUCCCACCAGCUUCGAGAAGAGCAGAAAACAAAGCCGGUGAUGCGAGAAAAUAGUGCUAUUCAGGUGCUUGGAAAAAAAAUCCAGUGAUCGUCCAUGUGAUAAGAAUGCUGGACUCCGAAAUACGGUGACCUUGUCGAAGAUUUAGAGCUGGAAUCCGGUGAAAGUGUGUUGGAACAUGGGGGACAACGGGACAAGG
Molecule: long non-coding RNA, 701 nt
Filed under: Zostera marina
Lineage: Eukaryota; Viridiplantae; Streptophyta; Magnoliopsida; Alismatales; Zosteraceae
Description: long non-coding RNA (ZMAR_LNC004286)
Source: RNAcentral